AAUAUAAUCACAUUAGAUGAAUAAAUUUCAAAGUAUAGUUGUAAGCACUUGACACAAAGUUUCUUCAUAACUGACUUGAUCACAAGGUUUUAUUAAUAUUGAUAUUUAUACUUGGAAAUGACUGGCUAAUUUUUUUAAUAGCUUAAUGUGACAAUGACUUUAUUUUCCUGAUAUUUUUGUUCGGUUGUUAUCUUUGCCUAUUUUGCCAUCACAUUCUAGAUACCAUUCAAGGUUUGCUUCAGGCCUUUAAUUCAAAAGCUUUUCUUUACUAUUACAGCACAUGAUACUUUCCAUCUCUGAAUUUCCAAGAAUCUCAGUUUUUAUACUGCUUACUUGGUACAUACCAAUUUUCUUGAGUUAAUUAUCAUCCUUUUUGUAUUGAUUCUUUCUCUGACAAAUUAUCAGCUCAUGGAAAGAACAGAAUAGUCAUUCUUUUUUUAUAUGUAAGAAAACUGAAGCAGAGUUUGAGUAGCUCAGAGCUAAUAACUACAUUAGGCUAAAUUUGAACUCAAGUAGUUCCCAGACUUGAAGUUCUGACCACUCUGCCAUCGAGCUCCCUGUGAUAUCUAGAUAGAUUAUCAAUCUAAAUUUAUGAGAAAUUUUACUGUGAUAAAUUAUCACACAGUAAAAACUCUAUUACUACAUAUUCUGGGCAUUCAGAGUUGAUAAGACAAAAUGCUUGGCUGACUUAGUAAAAGAUGUAUCUUUAAGGAAGCUGAGGUUGGUGCUAAAAAAGUAUUCUAUGCUUUAAACAAGUAUUGCCUACAGAAUAGUAUCUCAUUAAUAUCCUCAUUCUUGUGUAGAGAUGAUUCUAAUUGUUUUAAGACAAUGAUGACUUCAAAGCAUCACUCCUACCAGGCAAUAUCAAGCUAAAAAUUGUUCAUAUGUCAGCCUAAUUGCAGAGUAUAUUGCUUGGGGUUCAGCCUAUCUAAAUUUCUUCCCACUCUUUUUUAGAAGACCCUGCAACCAAUUAAGAAAGGUUCAGGUUCAGAAAAUACCCACAAUAGAGAUGAAAAUGCAAAAUGACCCUCAAUCUUACAUAGACCCUAUCUAUUUCCAUACUGGCAGAAAGGGAGAAAAGGAGACUAUUUGCUUGUUGGAGAAUAAAUAAGGACUUCCCCUCACUGAAACAGGAGCAUGUAAAACAUGACCAUAACAGAUGAAGAAAUGAUGGAAAACACUAAUAAUUUGCGACUGGAGAUGUGUUUAAAUCACUUGAAAGGAAGAUUCAAUAUAUAGGGAGAAGAAAAACAUUAUAACUAAGAAAUGAAAAACAAUGCCUAACAGUCAUAUCACAAUCUAGAUGAAAGAAGCUGAAGAAUAAAUUGAAAUGAUUUCAAUCUUAUGGAAAAAAA
This 1355-nucleotide long non-coding RNA is filed under the name Monodelphis domestica (gray short-tailed opossum). Its description in RNAcentral is "lncRNA (ENSMODG00000035702.2)". The record is from RNAcentral. Lineage: Eukaryota; Metazoa; Chordata; Mammalia; Didelphimorphia; Didelphidae.